RNAcentral lists this long non-coding RNA (1218 nucleotides) under Erythranthe guttata (spotted monkey flower). RNAcentral's name for it is "long non-coding RNA (EGUT_LNC001167)". Lineage: Eukaryota; Viridiplantae; Streptophyta; Magnoliopsida; Lamiales; Phrymaceae. The record is from RNAcentral.
CUUCCCCCAUCUCUCUCUCCUCUCUCUCCUUCUCUCUCUUGAUCCGCCAUAGCCAAUCGGUUGCCCACUUGAGCAGAUGUUUUGUUGUCUUCAAUUGCCGAUGGAUGUUCUUCGUUUCCAGAUUAUCUAUUCUUCGUUGCAUAAGUGACCGUUCGAUUCAAGCAUGCCUUGCGGAAGAUCGCUCAAAAUCUUCGAAAAACAAAAAUAAGGUAGUUUUUACUCAUAAAUCUGAUACAUUCUUGUAGUAUUCGACAUCUUCUUCAGUUUAAUGGUAUGAAUUGAUGUUUAUAUUAGUAAAUUUACUGAUAUACAUUGUCUUCUUCAAACACCCAUUUGUUCUCGUAAGUUUAGAUGAAAAAAAUUAGGGAUAUGUUUCUAGAUUUUGGUUUUGGUUUUGGUUUUGGUGUUAAUUUACUGUUUUAUUAGAUGUUAAACCUGAUAAAUUUUGGAAUUUCAGUUCAAACAAGGGAAGAAAAGUAAGCCACCAUUAGUUUUAAAUUUUUGUUUUAGUCAUCUGCUUGACUUCGUCUUGUGACUUUCUCUUGUGAUUUAGAUGGACACCGGAGCUCCGGAUUUGGUGUUUUCAAAGUGGUUUGACAGGUUAAGCAAACUAGGUUUGUGGUAUUUUUUCGAUUUCGUAGGACAACUCCAUUUGUUGUUUUACUUAUUGCUUUAUCUGCUCUAUGUUUUUGUGAGAAGAAUAAUGCUCUGAAUGGAUUCUUAUUUGUUGAAAUAUUUGAUUCCUCACUGUUUCAAGGAUGGGUUUAGUUGUUGGAUGAAAUGUCAUAAACGUGUUGUAUUAGAUUACGUGAAUUUAAUCUAAUCUUGUCUAUAAAGUGGCAUGUUCUGUUUUAACUUUUGAGAUGCUUUAGAGUGAGAUAAAUGCUAACUUCAUUGCCAUUCGUCUCAUAGUGUCAGUUCAAACUAGGUUAUGACAUUUUUUCGGAGCAUACAUAUUGUAAUCCAUUCUGUUUUUUCUGCUAAGAAGUGUCGAAUAUUGUCUCCAUGCAUUUCUUUUUGUUUGAGUCUCAUUUUCUUUACAAAUGUAUGCCAAUUGUAAUGAUUUCUUAAGUAGGAUUUUAAGACACGAGUUGGUGUUUCGUUUGAUAAUGCGAAAAUAUGCAAUUACAAGGACCAAUAAUAUAAUCCCAAUUCUUUUGAAUUAACUUUGUGCACAGAAAGAGCCAGCUGAUAGAAAAAAAAUAGUGAGCAAAUGGC